This 254-nucleotide ribosomal RNA is filed under the name uncultured bacterium. RNAcentral describes it as "partial 16S ribosomal RNA". It matches the Rfam family "Bacterial small subunit ribosomal RNA", at positions 524 to 776 of the family's 1533-position model. The record is from RNAcentral.
UACGGGGGGGGCAAGCGUUGUUCGGAAUUACUGGGCGUAAAGGGCGCGUAGGCGGCCUGCUAAGUCGGAGGUGAAAUCCUGGAGCUCAACUCCAGAACUGCCUUCGAUACUGAGAGUCUUCGAGUUCGGGAGAGGUGAGUGGAACUGCGAGUGUAGAGGUGAAAUUCGUAGAUAUUCGCAAGAACACCAGUGGCGAAGGCGGCUCACUGGCCCGAUACUGACGCUGAGGUGCGAAAGCGUGGGGAGCAAACAGG